Molecule: long non-coding RNA, 670 nt
Organism: Centrocercus urophasianus (Greater sage-grouse)
Lineage: Eukaryota; Metazoa; Chordata; Aves; Galliformes; Phasianidae
Exons: 3
Source: RefSeq, a predicted model, not a curated record
UCCCAGCUGACUGAGGAAGUGGCUCAACUGCAGCAAGGAGGAAUCAGUAUUCACCAAAUACUUUGGCGCAGGGACUGCUGCAGAGAUGUGGAACCAGACAAGGCUUGGUCAGAUUCACCAUUCUGCCCAGGGUUACAUAUUAUCUUGGACAGACCUACACGCCUCUGACUCCAGGUCAUCAGACAAAUCCUCUUCUGCAGAACUGAGAAGAUCAAAUUGUAUAAUCACAAGUCAUAACAGAAGGCUGGAAGAUACAGGAGAAAUCAGAGUGACACACCUAAGAUCUGAGUUCAUCAUUCAAGCUUUCCUUCUCGGUUUGUCUGUCUGCUGCACCCAUGACAGAGGACACAAAGGAACUAAUGAAGGAGACGACUGUUUUGCCCAGUCAGGCACAAUAGAAUUUCACUAUGGAAGUUUCAUUAGACAGUUACAGGCUGAGACCUAAAACUGCAUAGUGGAUGUAGGGGUUACACAUCUGCCUUCUGCGUGGAACACAUUUCAUGCCGUUGAAUUAGCAAUGAAAUAAAUGUCAGCAUCUGAGCUGAAGAAAGCCUAUUCUCUCUUUAUUGUAUCAUACAGACAGCUGCUCAGAGAACUCCUUCAGCAAUUGUUUUUGGCUUUCAUUGUCAUCCUUAAGAAAGUUCAGCAUAAAACACAAUAAAAAUCAGAU